This 1789-nucleotide long non-coding RNA is filed under the name Homo sapiens (human). RNAcentral's name for it is "HSALNT0106908". The record is from RNAcentral. Lineage: Eukaryota; Metazoa; Chordata; Mammalia; Primates; Hominidae.
AAAAGAUAAAACAAGAACUCUAAGUUAUACCUGAGAUAGCAAUCGCAAGAGGUAAGUUCUCUAUAGCUAGGUUACAAAGGGUAGAGGCUGGAUAUAUUAAAACUUAGAAAUUCAGAGGAAGUGCCCUGUGGGGCUUGGACUUGAACCUCUGAGGAGUGAUAAUUGACAAUGUUAGUAUCUCUCAGUGGGCUUUUCACCCCCUUCACUCUGCACAUCUCCCUGCUGCUGCCAUGUGAAGAAGGACCUGUUUGCUUCACCUCCCACCAUGAUUAAGAAGGAAAAGGAGGAGGAGGGAGAAAAGAAGGACAAGGAAGAUAAGAGGAUCAAGAGGAUGAAGAGGAGAGAUAAAGAGAAGGAGAGAGAGAGUGAAGAGACAAAAUCUGUGGAAUAGGAGAAAAUAUUUACAAACUAUUCAUCUAAGGGACCAAUAUUCCAAAGAGACAAGGAACUCAAAUAACUCAGCAGCAAGAAAACCCCAAUAAUCCGAUCAAAAAGUGGACAAAUUAUCUGAAUAAACAUUUAUGAAAAAAGACAUACAAAUGGUCAACAGUUGUAUGACUUUGAGGUCUUAAUUGAUUUUCUGCUGAAUGUUUAGUGUCUCAUGCUUGUCGUGGGGUAUCAUUUAGUUGACUUUACAUCACUAGAGUUGUAUCAUUUUUGUUUCCUUGAUUUGCAAAAAUAAUCUGUCAAAUCCACAAAUUCACUGAAAAAUAUUAAUAUUGGCCCAAACUGUCAAAUAGGUUAUUUAGAACAAGAUAGAUCUAACAUGUCAUUGUUUUACCUCUUGUUGCCCUUUUUGUUUUUCGUGUUUUGCUGUUUUCCUUGAACAGGUACUAUGAUAUUGGGUCAGUUAUGGCCACGUUAAAACCUUACAGAAAGAUGGCUAAAAGAGUAGCUGGCAUUUUAUAAAUGGAGUAUGUGGUGGAGAAAGGUGAAGAGCUUUACUUAAUAUACUGGAAGAAUAAUCAGAAAGGGGAAACUGUAUCUAGUUUCUUUGAUUUUUAGUAAAGUUCAUAUGAAGAGAAUUAUCCUCAACUAUUCUCUACAAUGGAAAGCUUUGCUAUAAUGACAGUUCAUUUAAGAAUUGUCAUGUGUGAAGUUAAAACAACUUUAUGGAGAAGUAUAGCAACUGCUCCUUCCAUGAAAAAAAUUAUGUUAUUAGUUACAAAAAAUGUAUCCAAAUAUCUUUCAUAUCAUAUUUGUUUAUGGAUGCUAAUGGCAUUUUGGAACAAUGAAGGCAUUCCAUCUGGCAAAUAGGUGAAAGGCAAAUCUUAACACAAAUAUCUUCAUGUCAAUAUAAUAGCAAAACAUUCACUGGCUUGUAGGUUACCUUGUUAUUUGUUAUGACUUUCCGUCAGAUUUUCAUGGGCACAUUUUCUUAAACAGAAAAUGUUUUUCUUAAACAGAAAAAGUUUGAAGAAGUUUUCCUACAACCACAUGGCAAGACUUUAAAUGUUUUAUUAUCUAUUCUCCUGUUUGUGUUGCCUAUACACUGCACACUUUGAUUGAAGUAUUUUUAUAUGCAAAGAGAAGAAAACAAUAUAUAAAAUCAGUUGUGUCCAGAUGAAAGAAGUGAACUUCAGCAAUGGCAAAGAAAUUUGGCUAACAGGAGGGCAAAUAGUUACAGGUUGAUUCUUUUGAUUGGAGACCUUAAUUUGAAGUCCAAUAUGAGCUAGAUGGGCACUUUGCACAGAGCCACACAGCUGCAUCAUUUCCUUUAGAGUUAGCUAGUAAGGACACUGGAGUUUUUCAGGUAAGAUCUGGUGGCUUGAACAUGCUGUGAACAAAC